GGUAUUUUGACUAUACGAAGGUAUUGAAAUAAGGCUUUAAUUGAGUGCUAAGACAAUGGUUUAACAAAAAUCACCUUUUUUUCAACUUUAAAUAAAAGUUAAUUUAAAAAUGAAAAAGUUUUUAUGAAAAUUUGGGACAAGAAGACCCUAUGAAUUUUUUUUGUAUAAUUAUUUAUUAUUUAUAGUAAGGAAAAUAAAAUAGUUUUACAAGUUGAUUGGGGUGAUUUUUAAAGAAUAUGUAUCUUUAAAAUAGAAGGAAUUAGUACCAUUAUUUUUGAUUAUUUGAAAAAAAUACUCUAAGGGAUAACAGCGUAAUUAUUUUGGAUAGUUCAUAUGGAUAAAAUAGUUUGCUACCUCGAUGUGGGAUUAAGAUACGUCUAUAAUGAAGUGUUUAUAUUAAGGAGUUUUCUCAAGUUUUAAAGUCUU
Molecule: ribosomal RNA, 426 nt
Filed under: Alectorobius lahillei
Lineage: Eukaryota; Metazoa; Arthropoda; Arachnida; Ixodida; Argasidae
Description: Ornithodoros lahillei partial large subunit ribosomal RNA
Source: RNAcentral